CCCAGACUCCUACGGGAGGCAGCAGUGGGGAAUAUUGCACAAUGGGGGAAACCCUGAUGCAGCGACGCCGCGUGAGCGAUGAAGUAUUUCGGUAUGUAAAGCUCUAUCAACAGGGAAGAAAAUGACGGUACCUGACUAAGAAGCCCUGGCUAACUACGUGCCAGCAGCCGCGGUAAUACGUAGGGGGCAAGCGUUAUCCGGAUUUACUGGGUGUAAAGGGAGCGUAGACGGCGGUGCAAGCCAGAUGUGAAAGCCCGGGGCUCAACCCCGGGACUGCAUUUGGAACUGUGCUGCUAGAGUGCCGGAGAGGCAGGCGGAAUUCCUAGUGUAGCGGUGAAAUGCGUAGAUAUUAGGAGGAACACCAGUGGCGAAGGCGGCCUGCUGGACGAUGACUGACGUUGAGGCUCGAAAGCGUGGGGAGCAAACAGGAUUAGAUACCCGUGUA
This 445-nucleotide ribosomal RNA is filed under the name uncultured bacterium. Its description in RNAcentral is "partial 16S ribosomal RNA". It matches the Rfam family "Bacterial small subunit ribosomal RNA", at positions 330 to 792 of the family's 1533-position model. The record is from RNAcentral.